RNAcentral lists this ribosomal RNA (445 nucleotides) under uncultured bacterium. RNAcentral describes it as "partial 16S ribosomal RNA". It matches the Rfam family "Bacterial small subunit ribosomal RNA", at positions 354 to 796 of the family's 1533-position model. The record is from RNAcentral.
GUGAGGAAUAUUGCGCAAUGGAGGCAACUCUGACGCAGCCAUGCCGCGUGCAGGAAGAAGGCGCUACGCGUUGUAAACUGCUUUUAACCGGGAAGAAACCCCAGGACGUGUCCUGGGUUGACGGUACCGGAGGAAUAAGCACCGGCUAACUUCGUGCCAGCAGCCGCGGUAAUACGAAGGGUGCAAGCGUUAUCCGGAUUCCUUGGGUUUAAAGGGUGCGUAGGCGGAGCGUUAAGUCAGUGGUGAAAUCCUGCAGCUUAACUGUAGACUUGCCAUUGAUACUGGCGCUCUUGAGUGCGCUUGAAGUGGGCGGAAUGUGCCGUGUAGCGGUGAAAUGCUUAGAUAUGGCACAGAACACCAAUUGCGAAGGCAGCUCACUAAGGCGAUACUGACGCUGAGGCACGAAAGCGUGGGGAUCGAACAGGAUUAGAAGCCCCUGUAGUCC